UUUGAAUCAUGCUUACGACCAACUCGAUGAACAAAGCACACCAGUGUUUCGAGGUGCAUGGAAUGAUCAGCUCUGUUUGAUAGGGAUACCUGUUGAAAUAGAUUUGCUUGUGUCCAGUGAUGAAUAUGAGGAAGACGGAAACCGUCAACAUCAAACAUGUAUCGCAGAGCUGUUCGCAUCAAAAGGUACAGAUCUUUCGGGCGCAACAAUAGACGCUUGCUGUGCAAGAAUAACCCUGAGGAAUGCCAACUUGGCUGCUGGCACAACGUAGGGAUUGCCAAUAAUGCGCUUUGCCUUGAAUCGAAGAAAUUCGAGUAUAACGGAAGUAGCUGGUAAAAGUAGCCGAAUGGCAUCCCGUAUGGGAAGAGACAUUAUCUCUGAAUGGACGGUGAAUUUGCAGGUAAUCAGUCCUGUACAGGUUAUGGCGUAAGUCGGGACAAGAAGUUUACAGUCGACGGGCUGUAGGCUCAGACUUGUCUCCCUGUUGACUGAAUAUUGAUGAAGACCAGUAAUGUAUGACGAAGGUCAGGUUGUAAGUAUGAUU
RNAcentral lists this small RNA (544 nucleotides) under bovine gut metagenome. RNAcentral describes it as "ROOL RNA". It matches the Rfam family "ROOL RNA". From Rfam's summary of the family: Firmicutes, Fusobacteria (1 example), Tenericutes (1 example). The record is from RNAcentral.